This is a long non-coding RNA of Musa acuminata AAA Group (dessert banana), 664 nucleotides long. RefSeq lists it as uncharacterized. The record is from RefSeq and is a predicted model, not a curated record. Lineage: Eukaryota; Viridiplantae; Streptophyta; Magnoliopsida; Zingiberales; Musaceae. The transcript is spliced from 3 exons.
AGGAAGACGCGACCAAAGAUGACAUGGAAGGUGUUGAUGCUAUCGUUCUUCAGCGGGCUUUUAGGGGGUACGAUAUCGCAAAAUCUGUAUCUAUCAUGUGUUCGUAUUACAUCUGCAACCUUUGCUUCAGCAAUGACUAAUCUCAUACCGGCAAUCACAUUUAUUCUGGCAGUCCUCUUCAGAUUGGAGAGUUUAGCUGUUCUUACUGUGUCUGGGCAAGCCAAAGCUUUAGGAACACUUACAGGCGUUGGUGGCGCCAUGCUCCUCACCUUUUACAAGGGAGCAACCAUUAAUCUCUGGUCCACACAUAUCGAUCUUCUCAGGUCUCAUAACGAUGAAGGAGGAGCUCAACCACAACCUCAACAGGACUCGGGCAACCAUGUCAUGGGCUCGUUGUUUGCGGUCAUAAGCUGCUUAUCCUACGCGAUGUGGUUGAUCAUUCAGGUGAGGUGACAAAAGAUACGAGUUGCGGUUUGUUUAGUUGUAUGAUUGAGAGCUUGCUGUUGCAGACAAGGAUGAGCAAACAAUACCCUUGUCAUUACACGGGCACAGCGUUGUUGUGCUUCAUGGCAGCAGUGCAAUCUGUAGUUUAUGCCCUCUGUGGAGAGAGAAGUAUGAGCAGCUGGAGAAUGCGGUUGGAUGUGAGGCUUCUUACGACAAUCUA